Non-coding RNA from Oreochromis niloticus (Nile tilapia), 919 nucleotides. The record is from the annotation of a RefSeq genome assembly. NCBI's taxonomy places the organism in Eukaryota, Metazoa, Chordata, Actinopteri, Cichliformes, Cichlidae.
UGUUAGUUCCACAUCAGAUAUAUGCUGGGGUUGUUCUCAAAGAAUUAAAUUACAAAAACAUUACACAAAGAAGUUUUAUGAAUACAAGAAAUGAUAAAAUGCCUGGAAACAUAAUAGGAUUAUGAAACAAACCGAAUGGAUUCAAAUGUGUUGGUUUCUUCAGUGAAAUUCUUUUCAUAUAAAAUUAAUGUUUCUUAAGAUUUGUCGGCGAGUGAUGAAGAUGUUCAAAGGAGUUAAAAACAAAGGUUAAAACCACUGGAGGUUUCUGAGUUUGUGCUGAAAGCUGUAACAUGUACUGAGGUUUGGUUUUGGUGUUUGUAACAUGCAGAGAUAUGAGAGGAGGAAGAGGCUGAAGGAGGAGCAACACUGUCACAGAGCAGAGCAGAAAAGGACUCCCACUGUCAGAUACAUUCAAUAUCUGAAGCAUACAGAACAGAUAGUGUGUGGAAGAUGCUGUCACUGCAUUACUGGCUCAUGUUUCCUUUGUUUCUGAUCACACUAACAGGUGUCAGCUGUGAUCAGCUCACUGCAGUCAAGGAUGAAGAGUCCACUUUAGAAGGAAACACUCUCACUCUGUCCUACAGAUUUUCUGGACAAGCCAAUGUCAAUGAUUAUUUCUUCUGGUAUCGACAAUAUCCAGGAAAACCACCAGAGUUCCUGAUCUCUCAUUUGGGAAAUGGAGAUUUAUUGAAGCGAGAAUUCUCCAGAGUGUCAUUCAAAGUCGUUGAUGAUCAAAGACAAAUAACGAUCUCCUCUGCUGCAGUGACAGACUCUGCUGUGUACUACUGUGCUGUGAGGCCCACAGUGACAGGAAACACCGAAACUCUGUACAAAAACCUUUGGAGCAAAGACAACAGAAUACUCCACAACAUCCACUAGAGGGAGCCACACACUGUUAAAGCCCAGGGCUUUGGUUGGA